RNAcentral lists this ribosomal RNA (441 nucleotides) under uncultured bacterium. Its description in RNAcentral is "partial 16S ribosomal RNA". It matches the Rfam family "Bacterial small subunit ribosomal RNA", at positions 338 to 795 of the family's 1533-position model. The record is from RNAcentral.
CCUACGGGGUGCAGCAGUGGGGGAUAUUGCACAAUGGGGGGAACCCUGAUGCAGCGACGCCGCGUGGGUGAAGGAGUGCUUCGGCAUGUAAAGCCCUAUCGGCAGGGAAGAAGCAAGACGGUACCUGACUAAGAAGCCCCGGCUAACUACGUGCCAGCAGCCGCGGUAAUACGUAGGGGGCGAGCGUUAUCCGGAUUCACUGGGUGUAAAGGGAGCGUAGACGGCCAUGCAAGCCAGGGGUGAAAGCCCGGGGCCCAACCCCGGGACUGCCCUUGGAACUGUGCGGCUAGAGUGCGGGAGGGGCAGGCGGAAUUCCUGGGGUAGCGGUGAAAUGCGUAGAUAUCAGGAGGAACACCGGCGGCGAAGGCGGCCUGCUGGACUGCGACUGACGUUGAGGCUCGAAAGCGUGGGGAGCGAACAGGAUUAGAUACCCUUGUAGUC